Molecule: long non-coding RNA, 1484 nt
Filed under: Homo sapiens (human)
Lineage: Eukaryota; Metazoa; Chordata; Mammalia; Primates; Hominidae
Description: HSALNT0106681
Source: RNAcentral
CAGAAAGUCAUUUGUCAAAUCAAGCGGUUGGAAGUUUCUACAAAGUCCGGAGCCUCAGGAAGAAAGACAGGCAUGGCUGGUCCAUCAGCAGCUGUACUGAGAUGGAAUAGACGGGCUGGGAAGGCUCCGUAGGAUGGGGAGCUUCAUUACUGGAGUGUUGGCAUAUGGUCUGUUGGGGUCUGAACUGUAUAGUUUUGGUGGACAAAUGUGGGAGAUGGGAAACACAAUUAAACUGACAUUCAUAAAGUACCCAUGAUGUGCCAGGCAUAGAGUGAGGUGAAGUCCAGCUGUCUGUCAGUCAUGAAGGAAGCAGAGGAGGCUGGUUUGGCCAGGACUGUUGCCUGCCUCUGGUAUGGUCCUGGGAGGUAGAGGAGAGAUGGGAAUGGAGGAAAAGAAGACCUUGCUCACCCACCCAACUGGGCAGUCAAGUUACUCAAAGGGAACUUUAGGAAAACCGGGCAAGAAUGAGAAGAAAGCAACAAAAUCAGUUGGAGCUAAAAAGUAGGUUCUUCUAAGGAAAAACAAAAGGUGGGCUGUGGAUCUAGUAACUGUGAUCACACAUGAGGAUGCAGAAUAACAAUCAUGUCCAGGAUACCUCAAGAGUUUCUUGGGUAUUAUGUUAAGUGCUUUCUGUGACAUAUGUGACUUCCUCUUCAAAACUACCAUAUGAAGAAGAUACUGUUGUCACCCACAUUUUACAAUGGAGCAAUCUCAGUCUGGAGGAUUUUCUAGCCUCUAGAAUCAAGCAAGAAAUACAAUUAGUUACAUAUUUACUGGGACGAUAACAUCAGAACAAAUUAGUAGCUUAAGAGAACAUAAAUAUACCUGGUAUUGAGAUUAGCUCAAAUGUCUCUUUAAAGAUAUGUGGAUGAUCCACCAUUGCAGAAUAACACAAUUUAAAAACCAUAUUAUGCCAGAAUCUACAUCCAAAUGAGUGCUGGGCUGUUAAGAAGAUCUGCGCCCCCUUCACCUCCUGCCCAAUGUUAACAGCAUAAAAACUGGAGCUCCAGGAGGACGGUAGUUCUCACUUCCAGUGAAGGGGUGCUGGUGUGUGGAUGGAAAUUUGUCCUGCCUGGAAAUUGUAGCUGACUUCUAAUGACACCAGCACAGCUGGACAUGUGAAUAUCCUCUGUGGUAGCAGAUGGUCAUCCUGGGGGAAAUGGCUUCAAUUUUUGGAAGUUGAGGUCCAGUGAAUAAAGUCAAUGCUUUUAUAAACUUACCUUUGGAGGGAGAAAUGACAAGGCCGAUUUUCUUUUAUGGUCUAUAAAUCAACUAGAUUCCUAGAAAGAGAUUCCAAAAAUCUUUUGGCGGCAGCCUUGGAAUAAGUGUGUAUGGAUUCCCAAGAUGAGAGCUUUGGAGAUAGUGUUCAUUUGUAGGAAUAAGUCCUGAUGUUUCAGUAAAUAAUCAAUUCUGUUAUCUUGUAUGUCUUUUUUCCCUGAUUAAAAUAUAAGAUCCUGAAGGCUGGGAGGCCAGAGUGGAUGCAU